AGAACGAACGCUGGCGGCAUGCCUAAUACAUGCAAGUCGAACGAGAUCCUUCGGGGUCUAGUGGCGCACGGGUGCGUAACGCGUGGGAAUCUACCCCUGGGUUCGGAAUAACAGUUGGAAACGACUGCUAAUACCGGAUGAUGACGAAAGUCCAAAGAUUUAUCGCCCAGGGAUGAGCCCGCGUAGGAUUAGCUAGUUGGUGAGGUAAAGGCUCACCAAGGCUACGAUCCUUAGCUGGUCUGAGAGGAUGAUCAGCCACACUGGGACUGAGACACGGCCCAGACCUCCUACGGGAGCAGCAGUAGGGAAUA
This 311-nucleotide ribosomal RNA is filed under the name uncultured soil bacterium. Its description in RNAcentral is "bacterial SSU rRNA". It matches the Rfam family "Bacterial small subunit ribosomal RNA", at positions 26 to 363 of the family's 1533-position model. The record is from RNAcentral.